Salvia miltiorrhiza (redroot sage) is the source of this 1019-nucleotide long non-coding RNA. RefSeq lists it as uncharacterized. The transcript has 4 exons. The record is from RefSeq and is a predicted model, not a curated record. NCBI's taxonomy places the organism in Eukaryota, Viridiplantae, Streptophyta, Magnoliopsida, Lamiales, Lamiaceae.
GCAAAAUGUAUUCUUCAUUUUCUCCAUUGCAUCCUCUCUUUCUCUUCAUCUUUUCGGCUGUUCUUCCUUCUCUCUCUAUACCUUUCUCUCUCUUUCUCUUUACUUCGCGAGAGUCUCUUCAGACUCUGCCCUCUAUUUGAUUCCCUUAAGAUCGGUUUGUGAGCUUCCUCUCUCUACUCCCUGUUCAGUCGACGUCUCCUCUCUCUACUCCCUAUUCAGUCGACGGCUACUCCAUCUUUCUGUGCAACCUCGCCGCUCCCAUUUUUAUCGUCUUCCGGUUCAGUCUGCGCUGCCACCGUCGCCGCAUAGGGAAAUAGCUAUAAGUGAUAGGAAUUUCCCCUUCUCCUCCUUCUAUGGCGAAUAUCAAAACUCAGAAAAUCACUCCAGCGUACUUACUAAAUUCGACGACUUCACCAUCGACCUGAUGGAUGAGAAGAGAUGACUUCUCCUUCGCCGAAGAGAAAAUUAGAAACGUCGAUGGCGUCUUCUCUAGCGCGAAUAAAAGUUCGAGCUAAUGGUCCUAAUGAUGUGAGGUGAUUAUGGGAUAUCCGUCUUCCCCGUGGAAGACGACAUAUUUUGCUGAAAAUUUGAGACAUCUUGCUUCCAUCCUAACAUCAGACGUUUUAUGGAAACAUAUGCUUGGACAUAUUACAGGAUAAGUGGUUGCCUGCCUAUGAUGUUGGAACUAUCUUACUGUCGAUUUAGAGUUUGCUUGGAGCAAGAGAUAUAUGUAGAGAUGAGGAAAUCUAUGAAGCUCGGAUCGGCACAUGAUUAAUUUCAGAAUGAUGUGACAAUAUUAAGAACUUUGAUAUUUAUUUGUAGCUCGAGUUGUUUAUUUUCAUUGCAUAGGAACUUCGAUAUUUUCUUUUUGUACAAAGAUGACAUAUAUACCUCAUUCGGAAGCCUCCUAAAUUUCUUUGAUUGUAACCCUAUGAUUGUAACCCUUUUGUAACCCUAUGUGAUUGUAAAUUUAUUUAUUCUUUUGCCAUUCUUGUAAUGAAAUUGAUGGAUGGGAGUUA